Molecule: long non-coding RNA, 889 nt
Organism: Pseudophryne corroboree (corroboree frog)
Lineage: Eukaryota; Metazoa; Chordata; Amphibia; Anura; Myobatrachidae
Exons: 3
Source: RefSeq, a predicted model, not a curated record
GCCCAGGCCCAUGAUUACCAGGGCAGUGUGAGGAGGAUUACUGGGGAUGCCUGCAAGGAAUCACACCGCGGGAGGAGGAGAGACUAUGGCUGGAGACUGAUGGAAAGACCCCUUGAAGUGCUGCUGAGACACCAUGAUGAGUCCAUGUCCCAAGAAAGAAUGAUGAGUGACACCAAGGAUGAAGUGAAGUGUGAUCAAGGGCUGCUAUAGGGUUUGGUUAAGAUGUGGUACUUCCAAAUCAGGACAGGAGAAUGUGGAAAUUGGGAAGAGAUUUGUUGCAGAGAGCUGGAGAAAAUGGAUGUUGGGUUUCAGGGCUGAAACCCACAUUUGCUAACAGGGCCGUUUCUACCAGCGGGCAAGCCGCCAAAACCCCUUCUCUUCCAGUGUAUUCCUCCUGCCCCUUCGUGUUACUCCAGUCGCUGGGCGGAGUUCAGCAUUGUGACGCGGUUGCACCGUUGUAAGAGGAGACGCCGAGGAGGAGCGGAUGGGAGGGUGCCAUUUCACAGCAGAGCGGCGGUGUAUUCAGCGGGCAGCGGCAGCAGAAGGAGGAUAGGACCAACCGCAGUCCCACUCUCUCAGUGAGACCACCGCUCGCUGCAGAGUGGGUAUUUAUUCUGUGACUGGGUCUGCUUUGCUCCCUGGCUCCCUGGCUCAGUGCAGUAACUCCAAAUAAAAUAAUACUACACCCUCCCCCCCCCCCCCCCCUUUUAUGUUUUGUGACAGUGCCAGCAGAGUGUCUGUGUACAACAGACAGUGUCAGUCAGGGUGCCGUGCCAUUAUUGAAUAAAUAGACUGUUUUCUGCUAUAUUCUGCCAGCCAGGUGAGGGUUAUAAUUAUUAAGUUAGAACAUACAUAAAUUACAACAUGUCAUGGUAUUUUUUUUUAAUAA